AUUGAACGCUGGCGGCAGGCCUAACACAUGCAAGUCGAACGAGUGGCGGACGGGUGAGUAAUGUCUGGGAAACUGCCCGAUGGAGGGGGAUAACUACUGGAAACGGUAGCUAAUACCGCAUACCAUCGGAUGUGCCCAGAUGGGAUUAGCUAGUAGGUGGGGUAACGGCGAACCUAGGCGACGCUCCCUAGCUGGUCUGAGAGGAUGACCAGCCACAGUGGAACUGAGACACGGUCCAGACUCCUACGGGGGGCAGCAGUGGGAAAUAUGGAAAAGUGGGCGCAGGCCUGAUGCAGCCAUGCCGGGUGUAUGAAGAAGGCCUUCGGGUUGUAAAGUACUUUCAGCGAGGAGACGUAACUCGCAGAAGAGGCACCGGUUAACUCCGUGCCAGCAGCCGCGUAAUUC
This 405-nucleotide ribosomal RNA is filed under the name uncultured bacterium. RNAcentral describes it as "partial 16S ribosomal RNA". It matches the Rfam family "Bacterial small subunit ribosomal RNA", at positions 30 to 526 of the family's 1533-position model. The record is from RNAcentral.